This 449-nucleotide ribosomal RNA is filed under the name uncultured bacterium. RNAcentral's name for it is "partial 16S ribosomal RNA". It matches the Rfam family "Bacterial small subunit ribosomal RNA", at positions 28 to 523 of the family's 1533-position model. The record is from RNAcentral.
GACGAACGCUGGCGGCAGGCUUAACACAUGCAAGUCGAGCGCAUCCUUCGGGGUGAGCGGCAGACGGGUGAGUAACGCGUGGGAACGUACCCUUACCUACGGACUAGCUCAGGGGAACUGGAAUUAAUACCGUAUACGCCGUUAGGGGGAAAGAUUUAUCGGGGAAGGAUCGGCCCGCGUUGGAUUAGCUAGUUGGUGGGGUAAAGGCCUACCAAGGCGACGAUCCAUAGCUGGUCUGAGAGGAUGAUCAGCCACAUUGGGACUGAGACACGGCCCAAACUCCUACGGGAGGCAGCAGUGGGGAAUAUUGGACAAUGGGCGCAAACCUGAUCCAGCCAUGCCGCGUGAGUGAUGAAGGCCUUAGGGUUGUAAAGCUCUUUCAGUAGGGAAGAUAAUGACGGUACCUACAGAAGAAGCCCCGGCUAACUUCGUGCCAGCCGCCGCAGUAA